Molecule: long non-coding RNA, 407 nt
Organism: Hemicordylus capensis (graceful crag lizard)
Lineage: Eukaryota; Metazoa; Chordata; Lepidosauria; Squamata; Cordylidae
Exons: 2
Source: RefSeq, a predicted model, not a curated record
CAGGAAGGAGGAGGCAGCCAGAGUGUUCUCUGCAGCAGAAGACCCCUUGCUGCCCUGCUUAACCCAGACCAGCAUUUGCCAGGAUUCAGAGGGUCUGGAGCAGAUCUACCUCAGGGAGGACUCUAGAGAAUCGUCUGGGCCUAUUCAUCAGCCUACACAUUAUUUAUUUCAGUGAGCAGAAGAAGUGGAGACAGCAAAGAUCAUAUCUCUACACCAUCCUGAAGGACUGGAAUCAAGUAGGAGAACUUACCGAUAACAGAUUUGUGGGGCAUUUCUGGGAAAAGAAUCCCUAGGUUUCAACAGAGUCUAAAGUAAUUGCUGUGGUGGUGUUUUGUUUUUUUUAACUUUUUAACAGAAUACUGUUAUAUUUGUGUUUCAAGAAGAACUGAAGUAAAUUUGAACACAUA